ACUCCUACGGAAGGCAGCAGUGGGGAAUCUUCCGCAAUGGACGAAAGUCUGACGGAGCAACGCCGCGUGUACGACGAAGGUCUUCGGAUUGUAAAGUACUGUCUUCAGGGACGAAUGGUAGGUAUGAAAAUAUUGUACCUACAUGACGGUACCUGAGGAGGAAGCCCCGGCUAACUACGUGCCAGCAGCCGCGGUAAUACGUAGGGGGCAAGCGUUGUCCGGAAUCAUUGGGCGUAAAGGGCGCGUAGGCGGAUAAUUAAGUCUGGUGUGAAAACCUGG
This 279-nucleotide ribosomal RNA is filed under the name Desulfitobacterium enrichment culture. RNAcentral's name for it is "partial 16S ribosomal RNA". It matches the Rfam family "Bacterial small subunit ribosomal RNA", at positions 335 to 605 of the family's 1533-position model. The record is from RNAcentral. Lineage: Bacteria; Bacillati; Bacillota; Clostridia; Eubacteriales; Desulfitobacteriaceae.